Molecule: transfer RNA, 91 nt
Filed under: Sphingobacterium psychroaquaticum
Lineage: Bacteria; Pseudomonadati; Bacteroidota; Sphingobacteriia; Sphingobacteriales; Sphingobacteriaceae
Description: tRNA_Ser_GGA
Rfam family: tRNA
About the family: Transfer RNA (tRNA) molecules are approximately 80 nucleotides in length. Their secondary structure includes four short double-helical elements and three loops (D, anti-codon, and T loops).
Source: RNAcentral
GGAGAGGUGUCAGAGUGGUCGAAUGAGCAGACCUGGAAAGUCUGUAUACGGGAUGACUGUAUCGUGGGUUCGAAUCCCACCCUCUCCGCAA